RNAcentral lists this transfer RNA (62 nucleotides) under Aedes aegypti (yellow fever mosquito). It matches the Rfam family "tRNA". Rfam says of the family: Transfer RNA (tRNA) molecules are approximately 80 nucleotides in length. Their secondary structure includes four short double-helical elements and three loops (D, anti-codon, and T loops). Lineage: Eukaryota; Metazoa; Arthropoda; Insecta; Diptera; Culicidae. The record is from Rfam by way of RNAcentral.
GGCUCGGUAGCUUAGUUGGUAAAGCGCUCGUCUAGUCCUGGGUUCGAAUCCCAGCCGAGCAC